This 454-nucleotide long non-coding RNA is filed under the name Bos indicus x Bos taurus (hybrid cattle). RNAcentral describes it as "lncRNA (ENSBIXG00000006839.1)". The record is from RNAcentral. Lineage: Eukaryota; Metazoa; Chordata; Mammalia; Artiodactyla; Bovidae.
AGAUACUCAGCGAAGAGUACUUCCCUAACAUGUCACCAGGUAGCUGCACAGAUUCAUUCAUUCUCACAACACCCUGUAGGUGUUAUCAUUACAGAGAUGCAUUUAGUCAAUAGAUAUUUAGUGAGGGCUGACUGCAUGCCACGCACUGUUCUAGGAGCUGGGGAUACAGCGGUGAACCUGACAAGGCCCCCAUGCGGAGGAAACAAGAAGCAGAUCUGCAGAGAUGAAAUUCCAGGGUUGCCCGGAGAUUACAAGCCUGACUCAAACCCAGAUCUACUGGCCUCACAUCCGCUGUCUGACCUAAUGUGGAGAACAAACAUUGGCAACAGUAGAUUCUUCACCAGCUGAGCUACCAGGGAAGGCCCAAAGGAACUAUAUCUCAAUUUUGAAAAAAGAAGUCUAUGGUGUGUUUUCACCUAUCCUUUUUGGGUUUAGCACAAUGCUGAAUGCUUGG